AUGGCAGACGAGACGAUCGCGUCGGCUUAAUCGGCCGCCGAGGAAAGUCCGGGCUCCUGCGGGCAGCGCAGCACCUAACGGGUGUCCGCCGUGGGCAGUGGUUGUCUUUCUCCGUCAGGAGAAAACAACUGCGGUCGUAAGGCGAGGACUAGUGCCACAGAGACGAUGUACAGGCGGUUUGUUUUGCCGUGCUGUAGUGAAAAGAGGUAAACUCUGCGCGGAGCAAGAGUAAAUAGAGGACGAGAGCGCCCGCCUCGUUAGCAGUCCCGGGUUGCUUGCUUGAGCCAGUCGGCGACGGCUGGCCUAGAUAAAUGAUUGUCUGAAAAACAGAACCCGGCUUAAUGGUCUGCCAUAGCU
This 357-nucleotide RNase P RNA is filed under the name Candidatus Margulisiibacteriota bacterium. RNAcentral describes it as "RNase P RNA component class A". It matches the Rfam family "Bacterial RNase P class A". From Rfam's summary of the family: Ribonuclease P (RNase P) is a ubiquitous endoribonuclease, found in archaea, bacteria and eukarya as well as chloroplasts and mitochondria. The record is from RNAcentral. Lineage: Bacteria; Bacillati; Candidatus Margulisiibacteriota.